GACAGACAGGUACAGAGACAGCCAGGGACAGAGACACAGACAUGUACAGAGAGAAAGACAGGUACAGAGAGAAAGACAAGCGAGAGACAGCCAGGGACAGAGACACAGACAUGGACAGAGACACAGAAAGGUGAGGGACAGACAGGUACAGAGAGAAAGACAAGUGAGAGACAGACAGGUACAGAGAGAGAGACAAACAGGUACAGAGAGACAGACAAGUACAGAGAGAAAGACAGGUACAGAGAGAAAGACAAGCGAGAGACAGACAGGUACAGAGAGAAGGACAGGUACAGAGGGAAAGACAGGUACAGAGAGAAAGACAAGCGAGAGACAGACAGGUACAGAGAGAAGGACAGGUACAGAGGGAAAGACAGGUACAGAGAGAAAGACAGGUACAGAGAGAAAGACAAGCGAGAGACAGACAGGUACAGAGAGGACAGGUACAGAGAGAAAGACAAGCGAGAGACAGCCAGGGACAGAGACACAGACAUGUACAGAGACACAGAAAGGUGAGGGACAGACAGGUACAGAGAGAAAGACAAGUGAGAGACAGACAGGUACAGAGAGAGACAAACAGGUACAGAGAGACAGACAAGUACAGAGAGAAAGACAGGUACAGAGAGAAAGACAAGCGAGAGACAGACAGGUACAGAGAGAAGGACAGGUACAGAGGGAAAGACAGGUACAGAG
Anoplopoma fimbria (sablefish) is the source of this 690-nucleotide long non-coding RNA. RefSeq lists it as uncharacterized. NCBI's taxonomy places the organism in Eukaryota, Metazoa, Chordata, Actinopteri, Perciformes, Anoplopomatidae. The transcript is spliced from 3 exons. The record is from RefSeq and is a predicted model, not a curated record.